This 222-nucleotide long non-coding RNA is filed under the name Trifolium pratense (red clover). RNAcentral describes it as "long non-coding RNA (TPRA_LNC011845)". The record is from RNAcentral. Lineage: Eukaryota; Viridiplantae; Streptophyta; Magnoliopsida; Fabales; Fabaceae.
UCAAAACCGACAACCAGAGAAUAAACACUAUGUGAAAAUUGUUACAACACAUAGACUUCACUCUCAAUCACCCCAUGCCCCAAUACACUCACACUCUCCAAAGUAAAUAUUUGAACUACAUCUCAAGUACUUUUAAACAAGAGCAUAAGAGAAAAGCAAAAAGACACAAAUAUAAACUUAAAGUGUUUACAAGUGUUACUGCUUGGUGCAAUUAUAAACAAA